GUGGGCGUGGUGGUCGAGGUGGUGGGCGUGGUGGUCGAGGUGGUAGGGUCAGCAAGCCUGAAAAGCGAAAAUGUAUUCUAGCCGGGAGAGAGGGCAUAUCGCUGUGGAUUGUCCAUAUUCAAAAGAUGAGGCUAUUGUUAAACGUGAUGCUGCUGACGAGAAGAAAAAGUCACCUUCUUCCACUUCUGCUGCUUCUACUUCUACUACUUACCACGUGGCACCGUUUGCGGGAUGGAAACCAGGAUUUGUGAUGCCUCCUCCACCCCGUGUUGAUGCUGAAGGCAAUAUGAUUGUACAUUAGCUAUUUCCUUCCAUUCCACUCUCUAUAUUUGUUAUUGUUUCGAAACCUAAUUCGUAUUUGUGCAAUAAAUUACUUUGUCAAUAUUUGCAUAAAUUAAGAAAAAAUCGGCGUGGAGCUUCGCCCCAUUUUAACAUUUUCCCAUUUUUUUCAGUCAUUAUGAUCCCAAUUUUUCACCAGAAUCUUCCCUCCACAAUCUUGGGACAGGGUUGCAGAUUGGGACAACAUUUGUCGGGAUUGAGGGUCCAUAUCAGCGCCACCAGAACCAGCAAAACCUAACCCACACCCCACCACCACCUCCACCACAUUGCCAUUUCAGACAUCCUCCCCAACUCCAACACCUCCACAACCUCGGAGGAGGAGAUAACAGCAACAGCUCUUUUGAAGAAGGACAAAGCUCCAGCCUCGGCGGAGGGUCAACCUGAGCAGCGCUGGCCGUUGUAAUGUGAAAGGCGUUCCACUUCCACUUGAUGAUUUCUCCAUUUCUGAUUCUCCUCUUAUUGAACUUGACUAUCGACAUCAAGAGACAAAGCUAAUGCUUAAUGGCCGCUUAAUGGAAUUAUUGAACAAGUGCCAGCUGUAGGCAAGACCAAAGAAGAAGGAGAAGGAACAACUCUAACGUCGUCUCUCUUCCAAGGGGUUCAACAUCCGGAGACUUUUUGGCUUCGCACAACUUUCUCCCACUUCUACAAAGCAAAAUAAAUAGUGCCUUAAUCUCAAUACUACGAACACUACUAUGCCUACCACCACUCUCAUCGUGCACACAAGAAAUCAGUGGCCGCGGAACAGAGGGAAAAUGUCCCCACGGAAAUGCGAUGCCCGCAUCAUCUGCCCAUCUUAUACCCAUCCCUCCCCUAUCCUAUAACGUUAAUGCCCCCACAUGUCCCCCCGGCUUCCGUGGCCACUGCCCCACCGAUGCAAUAUAUCAAUGGCCAUCAUCCCCAACACGGUCUAUCAUCAUCAUCAUCACGGCCGUGGCCUCAUUCUUCUCGGGCAGACUUUUCUCUUCUCGUGUUGAGUGCGAGCAGGAAAUAAAUGACAUUAACCAUCAAGAGUGUACUAAUGAGAAAUUCCCUCCUGCUGAUGCUCCUCCUCGAAGGAAGACUAGACACGUAGAGUGGUUCGGGUGGUGAGAGAAAGUAGUGAAAGUUGAAAGUGAAAGUGUGAGAAAAUGGAAAGUGUGUGCAAUUCUAGGGAAAAAAGGAACUCGUCUCAAUUCUCUGACACACUUAUUAAAUUAUUAUCAUUACAAGACAUUUUUUUCAUGUUAAUCUCAUUUAGCCCCGUAAUUUAUUGUGUGCUAUGGAUGUAUGUAUACCCAAAGAUAUUGCUAUAUAUGUAUGUACCAUCUACGUUUCAGAUUAUAUACGCUAUUGUUGCCAUGAAGUGAAAUGUUAUUACUUUAAUCACGUAAUAAUAGCCGUUGUUGUAUCAUUGUCA
Molecule: RNA transcript, 1738 nt
Organism: Folsomia candida
Lineage: Eukaryota; Metazoa; Arthropoda; Collembola; Entomobryomorpha; Isotomidae
Exons: 3
Source: RefSeq, a predicted model, not a curated record